RNAcentral lists this ribosomal RNA (425 nucleotides) under Astrothelium aeneum. RNAcentral's name for it is "eukaryotic LSU rRNA". It matches the Rfam family "Eukaryotic large subunit ribosomal RNA", at positions 141 to 581 of the family's 3401-position model. The record is from RNAcentral. Lineage: Eukaryota; Fungi; Ascomycota; Dothideomycetes; Trypetheliales; Trypetheliaceae.
AGUUGUAAUUUGCAGAGGAUGUGAUGGAAUUUGUUUGAAAUCAAGUCCUUUGGAAAAAGGCGCCAUGGAGAGUGAAAGUCUCGUCCGUUUCGCAACAUUUUCCGUAUAUCACUCCUUCAAAGAGUCGAGUUGUUUGGGAAUGCAGCUCAAAAUGGGACGUAAAUUUGUUCCAAAGCUAAAUACCGGCUAGAGACCGAUAGCGCACAAGUAGAGUGAUCGAAAGAUGAAAAGCACUUUGAAAAGAGAGUUAAACAGCACGUGAAAUUGUUGAAAGGGAAGCUUAUGUCAUCAGAAAUGACGUUCAUGUUCAGCCUUUUGGUCAAUUCAUGAACGAUCAAGUUAGCAUCAAUUGGGAUAACGGGACAAAAGUGUUGGAAAUGUAGUUUUCUCCGGAAAAUCUUAUAGUCCGAUACAGAAUGCCGCUA